Molecule: ribosomal RNA, 401 nt
Filed under: uncultured bacterium
Lineage: Bacteria
Description: bacterial SSU rRNA
Rfam family: Bacterial small subunit ribosomal RNA
Source: RNAcentral
GGGGAAUAUUGCGCAAUGGGGGCAACCCUGACGCAGCAAUACCGCGUGAGUGAAGAAGGUUUUCGGAUCGUAAAGCUCUGUUAUUGGGGAAGGAGAAUGACGGUACCCAAUGAGGAAGUCCCGGCUAACUACGUGCCAGCAGCCGCGGUAAUACGUAGGGGACAAGCGUUGUCCGGAAUGACUGGGCGUAAAGGGCGCGUAGGCGGUCUGAUAAGUCAGAUGUGAAAGGUACCGGCUCAACCGGUGACGUGCAUUUGAAACUGUCAGACUUGAGUAUUGGAGAGGCAAGUGGAAUUCCUAGUGUAGCGGUGAAAUGCGUAGAUAUUAGGAGGAACACCAGUGGCGAAGGCGGCUUUCUGGACUGUAACUGACGCUGAGGCAUGAAAGCGUGGGGAGCAAAC